This 61-nucleotide transfer RNA is filed under the name Jesogammarus hinumensis. RNAcentral's name for it is "tRNA-Asp". The record is from RNAcentral. Lineage: Eukaryota; Metazoa; Arthropoda; Malacostraca; Amphipoda; Anisogammaridae.
AAAAAGCUAGUUAAUAUAUAACAUUAGCUUGUCAAGCUAAAAUUACUCACAGUGCUUUUUA